GGUCAAGCUACAAAGGGCGUAUGGCGGAUGCCUUGGCGCUGGGAGCCGACGAAGGACGCGGCAAGCUGCGAAAAGCCUCGGGGAGCUGCAAGCGAGCGUUGAUCCGGGGAUGUCCGAAUGGGGCAACCCACCGGGCGUAAUGGCCCGGUACCCCUGCCUGAAUCCAUAGGGCAGGAGGAGGGAACGCGGGGAACUGAAACAUCUAAGUACCCGCAGGAAGAGAAAGAAAGAUCGAUUCCCUAAGUAGCGGCGAGCGAACGGGGAAGAGCCCAAACCACAUAUCUUCGGAUGUGUGGGGUUGUAGGGUCGCCGAGAAAGCCACUUUAGAGCCUAGCUGAAGCGGUCUGGAAAGGCCCACCGCAGAAGGUGACAGUCCUGUAAGCGAAAGGCAAAGAAGGGCGAGGCGAUACCUGAGUACCACGGGGCACGUGGAACCCUGUGGGAACCCGGGAGGACCACCUCCCAAGGCUAAAUACUACCCAGCGACCGAUAGCGAACUAGUACCGUGAGGGAAAGGUGAAAAGCACCCCGGGAGGGGAGUGAAAUAGAACCUGAAACCAUAUGCCUACAAGCAGUCGGAGCGCGAUGGCCGCAAGGCCUGCGUGACGGCGUACUUUUUGUAGAACGGUCCUGCGAGUUACCGUAGCAAGCGAGGUUAAGGCGGAAAGGCCGGAGCCGUAGCGAAAGCGAGUCUGAAGAGGGCGCAAGUUUGCUAUGGUAGACCCGAAACCGGGUGAUCUAACCAUGGCCAGAGUGAAGUCUCGUUAACCCGAGAUGGAGGCUCGAACCACAUUGUCGUUGAAAAGGCAUGGGAUGAGCUGUGGUUAGGGGUGAAAAGCCAAUCGAACUCGGAGAUAGCUGGUUCUCCCCGAAAUAGCUUUAGGGCUAGCCUCAUGGGUUAACUUACGGAGGUAGAGCACUGAUUGGGCUAGGGGCCUUACCAGGUUACUGAACCCGUUCAAACUCCGAAUGCCGUAAGGUUUACCAUGGGAGUCAGACGAUGGGGGAUAAGCUUCAUCGUCGAGAGGGAAACAGCCCAGACCUUCAGCUAAGGUCCCCAAGUUCGUGCUAAGUGGGAAACGAGGUGAAGAUGCAUAGACAGCCAGGAUGUUGGCUUAGAAGCAGCCAUCAUUUAAAGAGUGCGUAAUAGCUCACUGGUCAAGUGUCUUUGCGCGGAAAAUGUAACGGGGCUCAAGCACGACACCGAAGCUAAGGAUUCUUGCGGGUUUCACCAGGGGUUUCGUGAAAGGUUUGGCAACGCGAUGCGGUGCCCAAAUGCUUCAGCUGCAAGCACGAAUGCAGCAGCAAGAAAAACGGAGUCUCUGGUGAAGCCCGCAAGAGUGGUAGGGGAGCGUUGUGCUAACCUGCGAAGCCGUACCGGAAGGAGCGGUGGAGGAGGCACAAGUGAGAAUGCAGGAAUGAGUAGCGAAAAGGCAGGUGAGAAUCCUGCCCGCCGAAAGCCUAAGGUUUCCUGAGGAAGGCUCGUCCGCUCAGGGUUAGGCGGGACCUAAGCCGAGGCCGGAAGGCGUAGGCGAUGGACAACGGGUCAAGAUUCCCGUUCCACCUUGUCUCGUUUGAGCGAUGGGGUGACACAGAAGGGUAGGCCAUCCGGCAGUUGGAGUGCCGGUCCAAACGAGUAGGGUGUGCGACAGGCAAAUCCGUCGCACGUGAAGCCCGAGACGUGACGGGGAGCGAAAUUUAAGUAGCGAACUGGUUGAACCCAAGCUGUCGAGAAAAGCCUCUAGCGAGAGGCAAGGUGCCCGUACCGCAAACCGACACAGGUAGGCGAGGAGAGAAUCCUAAGGCGCGCGAGAGAACCCCUGUUAAGGAACUCGGCAAACUGACCGCGUAACUUCGGGAGAAGCGGUGCCCUGGUACCGUGAGGUGUUUAGCAUACUGAGCGGGAGAGGGUUGCAGAGAAAUGGCCCAAGCGACUGUUUAGCAAAAACACAGGUCCCUGCUAAGCCGAAAGGCGACGUAUAGGGGCUGACGCCUGCCCAGUGCCGGAAGGUUAAGGGGAGGGCUUAGCGCAAGCGAAGGUCUGAACCGAAGCCCCGGUAAACGGCGGCCGUAACUAUAACGGUCCUAAGGUAGCGAAAUUCCUUGUCGGGUAAGUUCCGACCUGCACGAAAGGCGUAACGACUUGGGCGCUGUCUCAAUGGGGGGCUCGGCGAAAUUGAAGUACCCGUGAAGAUGCGGGUUACCCGCGGUUAGACGGAAAGACCCCGUGGAGCUUUACUCUAACUUGGUAUUGAGUUUUGGUAUCAAAUGUACAGGAUAGGUGGGAGCCAGAGAAGCCGGGACGCCAGUCUCGGUGGAGGCGCCGGUGGGAUACCACUCUUUUGGUGCUGGAAUUCUAACGGCACGCCGUGAGCCGGCUGCCGGACAUUGCCAGGUGGGGAGUUUGACUGGGGCGGUCGCCUCCUAAAGGGUAACGGAGGCGCCCAAAGGUUCCCUCAGCGCGGUUGGGAAUCGCGCGUUGAGUGCAAAGGCAUAAGGGAGCUUAACUGCAAGACCGACAAGUCGAGCAGGGACGAAAGUCGGGCUUAGUGAUCCGGUGGUACCGAGUGGAAGGGCCAUCGCUCAACGGAUAAAAGCUACCCCGGGGAUAACAGGCUUAUCUCCCCCAAGAGUCCAUAUCGACGGGGAGGUUUGGCACCUCGAUGUCGGCUCAUCACAUCCUGGGGCUGGAGUAGGUCCCAAGGGUUGGGCUGUUCGCCCAUUAAAGUGGUACGCGAGCUGGGUUCAGAACGUCGUGAGACAGUUCGGUCCCUAUCUACCGCGGGCGCAGGAGAUUUGCGAGGGUCUGUCCUUAGUACGAGAGGACCGGGAUGGACGCACCUCUGGUAUCCCAGUUGUCCCGCCAGGGGCACGGCUGGAUAGCUAUGUGCGGUUUGGAUAAACGCUGAAGGCAUCUAAGCGUGAAGCCAUCCUCAAGAAGAGAUCUCCCACAGAGUUAAUCUGGUAAGACCCCUUGUAGAAUACGAGGUUGAUAGGCCGGGUGUGUAAGCGCAGCAAUGCGUUGAGCUAACCGGUACUAAUUGGUCGAGGGUUUGACCAAAA
This 3063-nucleotide ribosomal RNA is filed under the name Capillibacterium thermochitinicola. Its description in RNAcentral is "Hydrogenispora sp. UUS1-1 23S ribosomal RNA". It matches the Rfam family "Bacterial large subunit ribosomal RNA". The record is from RNAcentral. Lineage: Bacteria; Bacillati; Bacillota.